UACGUAGGGGGCAAGCGUUGUCCGGAUUUAUUGGGCGUAAAGAGCGUGUAGGCGGCUUUACAGGUCCGUUGUGAAAGCUCGAGGCUCAACCUCGAGACGCCGGUGGAAACCGUAAGGCUAGAGUCCGGAAGAGGAGAGUGGAAUUCCUGGUGUAGCGGUGAAAUGCGCAGAUAUCAGGAAGAACACCCGUGGCGAAAGCGGCUCUCUGGAACGGUACUGACGCUGAGGCACGAAAGCUAGGGGAGCAAACGGG
RNAcentral lists this ribosomal RNA (253 nucleotides) under uncultured bacterium. RNAcentral's name for it is "partial 16S ribosomal RNA". It matches the Rfam family "Bacterial small subunit ribosomal RNA", at positions 524 to 776 of the family's 1533-position model. The record is from RNAcentral.